GAGUAUUGGACAAUGGGCGCAAGCCUGAUCCAGCAAUGCCGCGUGAGUGAAGAAGGCCUUCGGGUUGUAAAGCUCUUUCGGCGGGGAAGAUAAUGACGGUACCCGCAGAAGAAGCCCCGGCUAACUCCGUGCCAGCCGCCGCGGUAAUACGGAGGGGGCUAGCGUUGUUCGGAAUUACUGGGCGUAAAGCGCACGUAGGCGGGAUGGCAAGUUGGGGGUGAAAUCCCGGGGCUUAACCCCGGAAUUGCCUUCAAAACUGCCGACCUAGAGUUCGGGAGAGGUAAGCGGAAGUCGGAGUGUAGAGGUGAAAUUCGUAGAUAUUCGGAAGAACACGAGUGGCGAAGGCGGCUUACUGGCCCGGUUCUGACGCUGAGGCGCGAAAGCGUGGGUAGCAAACAGG
Molecule: ribosomal RNA, 400 nt
Filed under: uncultured bacterium
Lineage: Bacteria
Description: bacterial SSU rRNA
Rfam family: Bacterial small subunit ribosomal RNA
Source: RNAcentral